Molecule: ribosomal RNA, 490 nt
Filed under: uncultured bacterium
Lineage: Bacteria
Description: partial 16S ribosomal RNA
Rfam family: Bacterial small subunit ribosomal RNA
Source: RNAcentral
AGUGAACGCUGGCGGUAGGCCUAACACAUGCAAGUCGAACGGUAACAGGGAGAAGCUUGCUUCUUUGCUGACGAGUGGCGGACGGGUGAGUAAUAUCUGGGAAUCUGCCUGGUGGAGGGGGAUAACUACGGGAAACGUAAGCUAAUACCGCAUAACGUCUCAGGACCAAAGAGGGGGACCGUCAGACCUCUUGCCAUCGGAUGUGCCGAGAUGGGAUUAGCCAGUUGGUGGGGUAACGGCCCACCUAGGCGACGAUCCGUAGCUGGUCUGAGAGGAUGACCAGCCACACUGGAACUGAGACACGGUCCAGACUCCUACGGGAGGCAGCAGUGGGGAAUAUUGGACAAUGGGCGCAAGCCUGAUGCAGCCAUGCCGCGUGUAUGAAGAAGGCCUUCGGGUUGUAAAGCCCUUUCAGUGGGGAAGAAGGCAGUCAGGCUAAUACCCUUGCUGAAUGACGGUACCCGAAGAAGAAGCACCGGCUAACUUCGUG